RNAcentral lists this long non-coding RNA (979 nucleotides) under Phaseolus vulgaris (common bean). Its description in RNAcentral is "long non-coding RNA (PVUL_LNC002044)". The record is from RNAcentral. Lineage: Eukaryota; Viridiplantae; Streptophyta; Magnoliopsida; Fabales; Fabaceae.
AUGAGGUCUCUAAUGGCCUCCGCAACAGUCACUCUUGUGUUAGCAAUACUGUCUCUAAGCUUGCCAUCUCAAAUCUCAGCUGAUACCUACUUGUACUCAUCACCUCCUCCUCCCAAGAAGCCCUAUUAUUAUCACUCUCCUCCACCACCUUCACCUCCUCCACCUAAGCCAUACUACUAUCAUUCACCACCACCACCUUCACCUCCUCCACCCAAGCCAUACUACUAUCACUCACCACCACCACCUUCACCUCCUCCACCUAAACCAUACUACUAUCACUCACCACCACCACCUUCACCUCCUCCACCUAAACCAUACUACUAUCACUCACCACCACCACCUUCACCUCCUCCACCUAAACCAUACUACUAUCACUCACCACCACCACCUUCACCUCCUCCACCUAAGUCAUAUUACUAUCACUCACCACCACCACCACCCAAAAAGAAGCCAUACUACUACCAUUCUCCCCCACCACCUUCACCACCUCCUCCUAAGCCAUACUACUAUCACUCUCCCCCACCGCCUUCACCUCCUCCACCUACGCCAUACUACUAUCAUUCUCCCCCACCACCCUCACCACCUCCACCUAAGCCAUACUACUACCAUUCACCACCACCCCCACCGAAGAAGAAGCCUUACUACUACCACUCUCCACCACCACCUUCACCUCCUCCUCCAAAGAAGCCAUACUACUACCACUCCCCACCUCCUCCCAAGAAGCCCUACAAAUAUUCAUCUCCCCCACCUCCAGUGCACCCUUACCCUCAUCCUCACCCCCAUCCCCAUCCACACCCCCACCCUCACCCUCCCUACGUUUACAAAUCUCCUCCCCCACCCCCUAAGAAGCCAUACAAGUACCCAUCCCCACCACCUCCAGUCCACGUUUACCCUCACCCUCACCCGCAUCCACACCCUCACCCUCAACCUCACCCCCAUCCACAACCCCACCCUCCCUACAUUUAUCAGUCUCCUCCAC